RNAcentral lists this long non-coding RNA (456 nucleotides) under Homo sapiens (human). Its description in RNAcentral is "HSALNT0347208". Lineage: Eukaryota; Metazoa; Chordata; Mammalia; Primates; Hominidae. The record is from RNAcentral.
AGAAGAGAUAAGACUAGAGGCAGAGAUACUAGCUAAGAAGCUGUUGCAACAAUGAAAGAAGAAAUGAUGAGAACCUAAACUAAGGCAAUACUAAUAGAAGCAAAGAGAAGGGAAGAGAUUUCACAAGUUUAUAAGAAGAAAGUGGUAGGACUUGAAAGUUAAUUGGAUGUAAAGACCAAAGCAAGGGGCAGUCAAGGAUGGCUCCUGGAUUUCUGGCUUGAGAGACUAGGUGGAUGAAAGAGCAGGUAGAAUGAGAAAGAUGAUGCUUUCAGUUUGGGAUAGGUCAAGUUUUGGGUCCCUUAUAGGUCUUUCAGGGAGAAAUGUCUAGCAGGGAUUUGGAUAGAAAUGUCUGGCACUCAGGAGAAAUAGAGAUGAGAACACCAAAGACAGAAUAUAUGGUUCUUCUAGAAGAUCCACUUUCAAUUUUACUAAAGUGAAUGACCCACUUUGAUGAAA